UCCAGCGCCCGAACCAUCGCUUCCCGGAAACGGGGGGAGGAAAGUCCGGACAGUGCAGGGCAACCCACCGGUUAACGACCGGCACCCCAUUCGGGGGAGAGAUAGUGCCACAGAAAAUAACUACUUCGUUUCGGCGGAGCAAAGGUGAAAAUGUGAGGUAAGAGCUCACGGCUUGUACUGGUAACAGGGCAGGCGGGUAAACCUUGGGUACUGUAAUGCCAUGUAUAGGAAUCUUUGAAUGCGGCCCGCAUGAUCCCGGUUCCGAUCGGGAAGGUUCCAGGGUAGGCAGCUAGAUCCCGGCAGUAAUGACGGGGCCAGAUAAAUGAUGGUAUUGGAACAGAAUCCGGCUUAUGAGGCGUUGGUUUAU
This 367-nucleotide RNase P RNA is filed under the name Chitinophagaceae bacterium. Its description in RNAcentral is "RNase P RNA component class A". It matches the Rfam family "Bacterial RNase P class A". Rfam says of the family: Ribonuclease P (RNase P) is a ubiquitous endoribonuclease, found in archaea, bacteria and eukarya as well as chloroplasts and mitochondria. Its best characterised activity is the generation of mature 5'-ends of tRNAs by cleaving the 5'-leader elements of precursor-tRNAs. Cellular RNase Ps are ribonucleoproteins. The record is from RNAcentral. Lineage: Bacteria; Pseudomonadati; Bacteroidota; Chitinophagia; Chitinophagales; Chitinophagaceae.